This 407-nucleotide ribosomal RNA is filed under the name uncultured bacterium. RNAcentral describes it as "partial 16S ribosomal RNA". It matches the Rfam family "Bacterial small subunit ribosomal RNA", at positions 30 to 526 of the family's 1533-position model. The record is from RNAcentral.
AUUGAACGCUAGCGGCAGGCCUAACACAUGCAAGUCGAGCGGAGCGGCGGACGGGUGAGUAAUGCCUAGGAAUCUGCCUGGUAGUGGGGGAUAACGUCCGGAAACGGGCGCUAAUACCGCAUACUAUCAGAUGAGCCUAGGUCGGAUUAGCUAGUUGGUGGGGUAAAGGCAUACCAGGGAGACGAUCCGUCAAUGCUCUGAGAGGAUGAGCAGUCACACUGGAACGGCGACACGGUCCAGACGCUGACGGGAGGCAGCAGUGGGGAAUUGGGGACAAUGGGCGAAAGCCUGAUCCAGCCAUGCCGCGUGUGUGAAGAAGGUCUUCGGAUUGUAAAGCACUUUAAGUUGGGAGGCGUUACCAACAGAAUAAGCACCGGCUAACUUCGUGCCAGCAGCCGCGGUAAUUC